RNAcentral lists this transfer RNA (74 nucleotides) under Chitinophaga tropicalis. It matches the Rfam family "tRNA". From Rfam's summary of the family: Transfer RNA (tRNA) molecules are approximately 80 nucleotides in length. Their secondary structure includes four short double-helical elements and three loops (D, anti-codon, and T loops). The record is from Rfam by way of RNAcentral. Lineage: Bacteria; Pseudomonadati; Bacteroidota; Chitinophagia; Chitinophagales; Chitinophagaceae.
GGACCGGUAGCUCAGCUGGAUAGAGCAGCUGCCUUCUAAGCAGCAGGUCCCAGGUUCGAAUCCUGGUCGGUUCA